Molecule: ribosomal RNA, 383 nt
Filed under: uncultured Methanomicrobiales archaeon
Lineage: Archaea; Methanobacteriati; Methanobacteriota; Methanomicrobia; Methanomicrobiales
Description: bacterial SSU rRNA
Rfam family: Archaeal small subunit ribosomal RNA
Source: RNAcentral
AGGCUGAAGACUUUGCCGGAUUAGCUGAGAGGUGGUGCAUGGCCGUCGUCAGUUCGUACUGUGAAGCAUCCUGUUAAGUCAGGCAACGAGCGAGACCCACGCCAACAGUUGCCAGCUCGUCCUCCGGGAUGGUGGGGACACUGUUGGGACCGCCUCUGCUAAAGAGGAGGAAGGAAUGGGCAACGGUAGGUCAGCAUGCCCCGAAUUAUCUGGGCUACACGCGGGCUACAAUGGGUGGGACAAUGGGUAUCGACACCGAAAGGUGAAGGCAAUCUCCUAAACCCAUCCGUAGUUCGGAUUGUGGGCUGCAACUCGCCCACAUGAAGCUGGAAUCUGUAGUAAUCGUGUCUCAAAAUGGCACGGUGAAUAUGUCCCUGCUCCUU